RNAcentral lists this ribosomal RNA (292 nucleotides) under uncultured bacterium. RNAcentral's name for it is "partial 16S ribosomal RNA". It matches the Rfam family "Bacterial small subunit ribosomal RNA", at positions 505 to 796 of the family's 1533-position model. The record is from RNAcentral.
GUGUCAGCAGCCGCGGUAAUACGGAGGGAGCUAGCGUUGUUCGGAAUCACUGGGCGUAAAGCGUGCGUAGGCGGUGACUCAAGUCAGAGGUGAAAGCCUGGAGCUCAACUCCAGAACUGCCUUUGAAACUAGGUCGCUAGAACAUCGGAGAGGUGAGUGGAAUUCCGAGUGUAGAGGUGAAAUUCGUAGAUAUUCGGAAGAACACCAGUGGCGAAGGCGGCUCACUGGACGAUUGUUGACGCUGAGGCACGAAAGCGUGGGGAGCAAACAGGAUUAGAUACCCUCGUAGUCC